Olea europaea var. sylvestris is the source of this 1317-nucleotide long non-coding RNA. RefSeq lists it as uncharacterized. Lineage: Eukaryota; Viridiplantae; Streptophyta; Magnoliopsida; Lamiales; Oleaceae. The transcript is spliced from 3 exons. The record is from RefSeq and is a predicted model, not a curated record.
CCUAUUUUUUCCUAUUUUGGUCAAUGAAUGUUGUUUGGACCAUAUUAUUUUUUAUAGAGCUCAUAGUAUUUAUUCUUUUCAUAUUAGUUUCGAAGAGAGUAUGGAAGAAAACUCUGGGAAGCAAAUUUGCCAUUACUUUAUUCGAUCAUCUGCCCGAAAUAAUUUUUUUUCCCAGAACGAAGGGAUCACUUCUGUUGAAACUGCUGAUGUUGGUUAGUAAUUGUACUCUAUUGAUUAUGUGGACUCAUUUAUAUGGUGUUUAUGUUUGAAUUAUAUGUAUGAGGUUUGGUCAUAUGAAAUACAUACUACAUUUUUUUGCUAUAGACUUCCAUCUAAUGUUAAUGUUUAUUGUUCUUAUAAAGUGAAUGAUUCAGGGGGUUUAAAUGGAAUAGAAUUGCAUUCUAAAUGGCAACGAAAUAUUACUAAUGUAAUAGAAGACAAGUACGACGAUGGCGGUAACAAAAAAAGGGGCCAGAUCUGAAGAAUGUGUGCAAUUAAAUGUGGAAUGGAAAUGUGAUAGCGUUUUAAUGGUUGAAGGGUUCAAUCGUGAUGAACGUUGUGACAAAAAGCCUGCUGUAAAAGCGAAAGGGAUGGUUGCUUUAGCUAGGCAUCUUUGGGAGUAGCAGCAACAUUACUUCCUGGAGACCGUUAUUGAGGAAACAGUGGACUCCAGCAACAUCGAUAGGCGGAUCAAAAUUUUUGCUUGAAGGAAACCGUAUCCAAUACUUAGAUAUAGAUCCCAUUUCAUUUAAAUUCUUUCCCUACAACUAAAUGCAAAAAGAAGUCUAUUUAGUUCAUUACUUUUUUACGAUAACAUAUUCUUCAAUUUAAUUCUACUAUUAAUCAUACAAUUUUUUUGCUUGUAGGAAUCAAAGUUCGUAAAUGUAUAUGAUAGGAUCCUUUUUUGUGUGAUUUGUUGUUAUAUAUGGUAGAGGACAUGAUGUUCAAGCAUGAUCUUGAUGUGUUUAAACACUAGAAUGAUUGACCUUACUGGAUCCUUAUGAUAUGUAUCUUUGCUGAUUGUAUGUCGUACAGAUGAUGGAAAUCCAAAAUCUAUGCACACUCAGUAUGGCCUUUUUAAUCAACCUGAAUCCCAUACCAACCAAAGCAUUCUUUGUCCAUUCACCUACGUUUACAGCUUAUCUCUGCACAUGCAUGUGUGUAUGUUUGUGCGCACGCACACACACACACAUAUAUAUAUAUGAAUUAUUUACAUGAAAAAAGUUUGCUUUAUGUAUUAUAAAAAUAAACAUUAAUAAUUAUUGUCCUUUAUUUCUUUUAUCUAUUGUACAGGUGAAAACAUUAAUGAUUAUUGUC